GCACGAAGUUAGCCGGGGCUUCUUCUCCGGAUACCGUCAUUAUCUUCUCCGGCGAAAGAGUUUUACAACCCUAAGGCCUUCUUCACUCACGCGGCAUGGCUGGAUCAGGCUUGCGCCCAUUGUCCAAGAUUCCCCA
RNAcentral lists this ribosomal RNA (136 nucleotides) under uncultured bacterium. RNAcentral describes it as "partial 16S ribosomal RNA". The record is from RNAcentral.